AUCUGUCCACCGCGCCACCCGCAUGCGGUUACAGGUUUUUCCAUGCCACGCUAUUUGUUGUCCACGUAACGCGACCUAAAAGGUUGUUCCCCUCAUCUCUCAUCUCUCCACGCCUCACGACCUACCUAAAGGCGAGGGCGCCGCCGCCGCAACCCCGACCGGAGAUGCUCCAGCGUUUUGACGCGCACGGCCGUCCCCCGCCGGCAUCUGCGCCCCGUACGCCGGCAUGCUUCGGGAUUUCCCGGCUUGCGUCGCCUGUGGAUCGAGGAGCGGGAGGCCCGGAGCGCCUGUCAUCCUUCAGAAAUUCCCCAUGGCAGAGACGGUGCGAUGGUAGCUGACUUAUAUGGUCGGCCUCUGUCGAUGUGUAACGGCAAACUGGUCCGGUGAGUUGAUCUGACUGAUGGGAAGUACGGUGCAUCGCCGCCCUGCUCCGGUAAAUGUUCUAUGUAGACUCCAGGCAGGCAGUAUAGUUCUCGUAGAUCUGUUCGAGGAGCAUCCCUCUAUGGCGUUGACCGCCACAGAUCUGAAGGUACCGGUGGGCGACUCAGAUCUGCAAGGAGACGUGCGGACCUCCAUUACUAGACCCACGGCAAGUGUCUGAUGCAUGCUAUCGGCGAUGUGAUUCAGCGAUGUAAUUUUGUGCUAAUGAUGCGGCUGCGGUGGCACGUUGGCCCGGAUCUAGCUUUCUCAUGUACCCAUCCCUGCCUGGUGCAAUUGUUAGUGAUGCCGCUGCAAAGCCCGGCCUAGAUCUGUUAUAAUAUAUGUUGGUCUUUGCUGAUGAAGGCAGGAGUCUGCUCAGAUGCGUGAUACAGGAGGAUGACCUCGGCUUGCAAGUUUGUUUGGUGUGCAUUGGUUGUAGUUAUACUGCCUCGAGGGCCUUGGAAGCACCAGGAUGAUGCGAUGGUUGCCAGAGGAGAUCAAUUGCUUCACUUGAAGGUUGGGCAGGCCGUUGAUAAAACAGCACCAAGUUAAGUUGAAUGUUUUGUCGAUAAGUCAAGUUACUAAUUGAUUAUUAUGUCUGACGACUUAAACUUGUCUGUGACGGCUGUUCAGGUAAUUAGUUGAAUUAUGUACAUUGUGCUGCUAGCCGUUGUACAAUAAUUAUUGGGAGUUAUAAUGUGUACCAUUGAAAUUUUGUUGUAUCUGCUAUACAUGUCUAUUAUUUCAAAAUAAGCUUUUCAUAUUCAUGAUAUGCAAUUGUAAUAUUUAUCAUGGAAAUUUUUGGUGUGCACUGUUUGAUUAAACGGUGGCUUAGAAAUUUAUACAACUAGCAAAUUUAACACAGAACAAUAUUGCUAUCAUACAAUUGUAGUAUUUUAUAUGAGUAGCUAUUGAGCUAGUCAUGGACACGAGUGCGUGGAAGUUAGCUAUCCAAGUGCUAGAACCAUGAGUUGGUUUCGAGACCUUAUGCGUUUCAGCUCUACCCUACACCAACUUGUACUAAAGGCUCUGUUGUUGUUGUUACACAAUCAUCAUAAUUUCUAUGUGUGCAGCCACUAGAUAGUUAUUAUGUGAAAUUUCUAGUGUAUAUCAUUGCAAAUUUAGUUGUACUUGCUAUCGAUGUCUAUAGUUCUAUAUUGAUGAGAAAAAUGUUGUACCGAUUCAUAAUAUGCAAUUCAAAAUCUCAUCAUCGAAAAUUUUGUAUACAUCAUUUGCCAAAAUGAUGGCUUGAACAUGGUUACUUGUUAUUCAUGUAACUAGCAGAAUUAACCACAAAACUAUACUGCUGUUGUACAAGAUAAUGAUUGUGCAGUUAUCAUACAUUUACCGUUGAUUUUCUAUGGUAUUGAUUUUUUUUGCGUUAUGUCUAUACAAUUAGUUGUACACAAUUAAUUUUUCUAUACCAGUACGUAUGAAUUAUCUUUCUAUACUAGUAAUGCCUAGGACCACCUCCUACCACUAAUUUUUUAAUCGGUUGAGCAAUAGUACUCCAUUAUACGUCCCUAUUUCUAUAAUUGAUUUGUUCAUCUGAGAACUUUAUUCUGCAGGUACGCAUCGGACUCGAUGCCCUUUAUCCCUGCGUAACAUACAAUUGAAGGGCCUGAAAAACUAGAGAUGGGAAGGAUUUCACAGAAGAAAUUCGAGACUUUCAAGAGUUUUUUUUUGAGGCAUUUCAUUAUUUAGAAAUGAUGUUAUUCAAGUGUUAACAUACACAUGUUCCAGGAUCUCAACAUACUGUUUGGGAGCAGAAAAUGAGUAAGCCAAACAUUAAAAAGUAUGCCUUUAAAUCGAGGAUAGGUUUAAUAUGUUUUGUUCAAAGUCAAGUCACUACUUUAUCUCCAGACCUAUAAACAAUAGGUCUCAAUUCGGGAGGAAGAACCGGUAUUGUGGUCAGCCCAUGGUAUGUGCUGCUGCAGUGUAAUCUAGGUGUAUUGGAUGAUAAAACAUGUAUAUGAAAUGUUUAAUUUUGCUCA
This is a long non-coding RNA of Triticum aestivum (bread wheat), 2414 nucleotides long. RefSeq lists it as uncharacterized. Lineage: Eukaryota; Viridiplantae; Streptophyta; Magnoliopsida; Poales; Poaceae. The record is from RefSeq and is a predicted model, not a curated record. The transcript is spliced from 2 exons.